RNAcentral lists this ribosomal RNA (200 nucleotides) under uncultured bacterium. Its description in RNAcentral is "partial 16S ribosomal RNA". It matches the Rfam family "Bacterial small subunit ribosomal RNA", at positions 28 to 241 of the family's 1533-position model. The record is from RNAcentral.
GAUGAACGCUAGCGGCAGGCUUAAUACAUGCAAGGCGAGGGGGCAGCAAUGUCACCGUCGUACGGGUGCGUAACGCGUAUGGAACCUACCUUCAACUGGGGGAUAGCCCGGGGAAACCCGGAUUAAUACCGCAUAACACAAUGGAGUCUCAUGGUUUUAUUGUUAAAGAUUUAUUGGUUGAAGAUGGGCAUGCGUUCGAU